UUCGCUCUAUAACCCUUUGUGAACAUACCUAUAACUGUUGCUUCGGCGGGUAGGGUCUCCGUGACCCUCCCGGCCUCCCGCCCCCGGGCGGGUCGGCGCCCGCCGGAGGAUAACCAAACUCUGAUUUAACGACGUUUCUUCUGAGUGGUACAAGCAAAUAAUCAAAACUUUUAACAACGGAUCUCUUGGUUCUGGCAUCGAUGAAGAACGCAGCGAAAUGCGAUAAGUAAUGUGAAUUGCAGAAUUCAGUGAAUCAUCGAAUCUUUGAACGCACAUUGCGCCCGCCAGCAUUCUGGCGGGCAUGCCUGUUCGAGCGUCAUUUCAACCCUCAAGCUCUGCUUGGUGUUGGGGCCCUACAGCUGAUGUAGGCCCUCAAAGGUAGUGGCGGACCCUCCCGGAGCCUCCUUUGCGUAGUAACUUUACGUCUCGCACUGGGAUCCGGAGGGACUCUUGCCGUAAAACCCCCAAUUUUCCAAAGGUUGACCUCG
RNAcentral lists this ribosomal RNA (488 nucleotides) under Colletotrichum siamense. Its description in RNAcentral is "eukaryotic LSU rRNA". The stretch from base 166 to 319 matches the Rfam family "5.8S ribosomal RNA". Lineage: Eukaryota; Fungi; Ascomycota; Sordariomycetes; Glomerellales; Glomerellaceae. The record is from RNAcentral.